UACGUAGGGGUCUAGCGUUGUCCGGAAUCAUUGGGCGUAAAGAGCUCGUAGGCGGUUCGGCAAGUCGGAUGUGAAAUCUCCUCGCUCAACGGGGAGAGGCCAUUGGAAACGGUCGAGCUGGAGGGCAGUAGAGGCAGGCGGAAUUCCGGGUGGAGUGGUGAAAUGCGUAGAGAUCCGGAGGAACACCAGAGGCGAAGGCGGCCUGCUGGGCUGCACCUGACGCUGAGCCGCGAAAGCCAGGGGAGCGAACGGG
Molecule: ribosomal RNA, 253 nt
Filed under: uncultured bacterium
Lineage: Bacteria
Description: partial 16S ribosomal RNA
Rfam family: Bacterial small subunit ribosomal RNA
Source: RNAcentral